Cylas formicarius (sweet potato weevil) is the source of this 908-nucleotide long non-coding RNA. RefSeq lists it as uncharacterized. The transcript has 3 exons. Lineage: Eukaryota; Metazoa; Arthropoda; Insecta; Coleoptera; Brentidae. The record is from RefSeq and is a predicted model, not a curated record.
CCUGCUUCGUGUACAAAUGCAAUGAUAUUUCGGCAGGGCUAUAGGCUACGAAACCUUUCAAACUCGAAAAGGACGAACAAAUUUUAAAGAAAAAAGAUCGAUGUAACUCGUCAAGCAGAAUCCGAGAAGAAAAGGGUGCUGUUUGCUGACAAUCCGACCCUGCUUCGUGUACAAAUGCAAUGCCAUUUCGGUCAAGCGGAAUCCGAGAAGAAAAAUGACGGAUGUGCUGUUUGCUGAUAGUCCAGCCCUACUUCGUGUACAAAUGCAUGGCGGAGAGAGCAGAAAGUUUUCGAAACUGCGUGAGUGGAAGUCUGCGUUGGACAAAUUUUGAAAAUAUCUGAAGGUUUAACGAAUUUUGGAGAAUUCGACAGAGCUACAGACUACGAAACCUUUCGAAACGAACACACGUGUCCUGUAGAACUUGAAAAAGACGAAAUUAUUUUUAAAAAGAUCAUGGUAAUUCGUGAAGCAACAUCUCAGAAUUGAAUCGGCGAGUUGUGUAUUUGCUGACAAUCCGAGCCUGCUCCGUUUAGAUUUGCUUAACGAGGAAUCAAAAAAUCAAAAAAAAGGUUAACGAUUUGGAUCAUUUUGGAAGAUACAUACGCCGCGCUUUUCAAAGCGGACAGACGUGCCCUUGUCCAACUUGACAAAGGCGGAAUUAUUUUAGGAAAGGUAUAUUAUUUUUAAAAAAAUAUACAAUUUUUUAAGUAACAUAUUUGACGGACCAUGGCAACUAGUAAAGCAGAAUCCGAGAAUUCAAUCGGCGGCUGUAUGUUGACUGACAAGAAUAUAAUUGCUGUUAAUCCGGCCCUGCUUCGUGUACAAAUGCAUAGUGGGGAGACAUGAACAUUUUUUGAAAUUGCGGCCCUAUCCUCUUGGGAUUCUACGUUGGACAAAUUCUGAAAACG